GCUCGGGAGAGUGAACUAGCUAACUGAAAUCAAUGUAAUAUUAGAUUGAUAACAUAAGGGAGAAUAAUGAUGUUACCUUAUUAAUAGUGUCGCCCAAAGCUGGUGCCAGAAGACUCGGUAAGGCCAGAGACGCAAACGUUAGUCGUCCUAAUCAGGCGUAAAGGGUUUGUNGGCAGCUUUGANAUUUCCCUUUUUAUAUAGCACUACCUUAANAUACAANUUAUUAUCGCUWCUCUANCGGAGUUAAUAANACUUAGUGUAGGGCCGAUAUCCUUAGAUACUAAGGGGAAUAUUAAGGGCGAAAGCUUUUUUCCACUGAUGAUUGACCNCUGAGAAAGCGAGAGGUGAGGAUAGGAAAUAGGAUUAGAUACCCAAAUUACCCCUCUCUGUCAACGAUGAAUGGUGGCUACUAGUGAAUCAUUGGUGGCGAUGUUAACACGAUAACCAUUCCGCCUUGUGAGUACGACUNCAAAGUUGNAAACCCAAAAAAUUAGUCGGUCUCGAACAAACGAANNAACAUCACAA
This 525-nucleotide ribosomal RNA is filed under the name Bondarzewia montana. Its description in RNAcentral is "partial small subunit ribosomal RNA". It matches the Rfam family "Bacterial small subunit ribosomal RNA", at positions 401 to 945 of the family's 1533-position model. The record is from RNAcentral. Lineage: Eukaryota; Fungi; Basidiomycota; Agaricomycetes; Russulales; Bondarzewiaceae.